Sciurus carolinensis (gray squirrel) is the source of this 108-nucleotide small nuclear RNA. The record is from RefSeq and is a predicted model, not a curated record. Lineage: Eukaryota; Metazoa; Chordata; Mammalia; Rodentia; Sciuridae.
GUGCUUGCUUUGACAGUACAUAUACUAAAAAUAGGAAUAGUACAAAGAAUAUUACCAUCACCCCUACACAUGAAUGACGUGCAAAUCUGUGAAGCAUUCAAUAUUUUA